GCCAAUCUACUUUUGCCCAUUUAUCUAAAGAUUUUAUCGAUAAAGAACAAUGGGUAUUGAAGUAGUUAUUCUUUUUUUUCUUUUUCUAUCUCUUUUUUUCUAUUUUUUUUUAUUCGCAAAGGUUCGAUUCGACAUUGUUUCAACAUGUGGGUUCUCUCUCAGGUAUCGAAUAAUAUCACUAGACAAUCUCUCCAUCAAAGGUCUUGUGCAAAUGUGUGUGCCAUCUUGGAAUUACGAGUACAAAUCGGUCGAUACAAGUUUCAAAAAGACAACCUUAC
RNAcentral lists this long non-coding RNA (278 nucleotides) under Daucus carota (carrot). RNAcentral's name for it is "long non-coding RNA (DCAR_LNC001023)". Lineage: Eukaryota; Viridiplantae; Streptophyta; Magnoliopsida; Apiales; Apiaceae. The record is from RNAcentral.